UAAGAGUAUUUGAUAAGUAUUUUUGUGAUGGGCGUUGAAACUACCAAAAAUAAUUCAUACAAUAAAAUAACUCUAAACAGUAGUAAAGAGUAGCAGGGUCGAGUCUACAGGGAUCAAAUAUUAUGAUCAACUUUCGUGUUUUUCUUAUGAACAGAAUUUCGGUUGAGCCAAUAAUCGUGGAAAAAGUCGUGCCCAUGACUCCAAAUAGACCUGCUGAAAAAUAAAUUAAAUAAAUUAGGGGAGUUGACCAUGUCUAAAAAUUAAAUAAUUAAGGUAGCAUAAAUAAGCAAUUAAAGAGACCAAAAGUAAAAUUAAAUUAGAAAAUCAAUUUGAGUUUUGAUAAAAGAAAAAGUAAGCCUUAGCCCUAGACUUAGUGAAUUUCGAUCUCUAAACCGAUCCUCGAAAAUUAGUCUUCUCCCCCAAACAAUAAACUGAUUAUAGCGGCUAAAAACGUCUUAACUGUCAAUUCUUCCUCUCGCAAUUGGUCUCGAUACAACCUGCAAAUCAACUAUUACCGAUUAUCUAACUGAAAUACACGCGUUCUCGAUUCAAGAUUCCGAUAGCUUUGAGCUCUAAAGAAUCCAACUAGAAUUAACAGUCUCAACCGCGCGAGACGUUUAACCCUAUCACUAUCUCCUUUAAUUUGUUCUCGGAGAUCCGAAUACAGCACGACUGACUUGUUUCCCCAACUAUCCACAAACACGACUCCAACCCAACACGCUUUUUUAUUUGAAAUCGAGUUAACUUCAAGUGAUGAAUUUGUCAAUCUUGAGAUUUAGGGAAAAUAGUGAAUACCAAUUGGAAGGAUUUUUAGUACGGAUACAUAUCUCACGAUUAUUGACCGGAUAGAAUUCCGGCCUAAAACUAAGUUAGAAUUUAGUGAAGUAUGAAAUUAAUCAUGCUUUGGUUGGUUAUGGAGUGAAUUUGAAUGAAAAAUGGUGAAAGUUGGAAAUGGAAAGGAUUUGGAAAGCAAAUAAACUAAUUUGCAAAAAAAGAAAAAAAAAAAAAAAGGCAAAUGGAAAUGGAAUGGUAUCUACACGCAUGAAAUUGGAAGUGAAAAAUGGUUUAAUUUAAUUGUUUAACCAAAUUCAAAUGUGUUUUUAAGCUACUACAAAUGCCUUAAUUAUAUACAAAUGAUUUACUAAAUUUGGCCUAACUAUCCACUAUACAAAAUUAGAAUUAAAUAAAAAUAAAAUCAGAUUUUCUUCUAAUUUUAGGUUUUACAAAGUCAAAAGAAAUCUAAUAAGUUCUUGACUAUUUCUAAGUUUCUGAUUCGGCUCCACUUAAUUGACUGUGUUGCAAAUUAGUCAUUUUCUGCUUGUUUUUUACUCAUAGCAUCCCAAUUGCAUUCCUAAUAGGAUUAAAAUAUAAAAUUAUUAAUUUAGCAGGGAUCAAUUCAAGAAUUAACCGAUUUAAAGACAAAAAAUAAUGCAAAUUUAACAGGUUAUCAUUUUGGAUGAUUAUUCAGUGUUAAUUGUGAAUUUUAUGCUCAUAAUUCUUUAAAUUCAUGUUCUUAUGCUUAAGAGAGCAUUUGGGAGCAAAAAGAGUAAAAAAUAAGAGCAAAAAUCAAAAAAUCAAAGCAAGCUAAAGGAGCCACAUGGGCAACCACACAUCCAUUUCGAUUUCGCAAAUUUGCACUAUGAACUGCGAAAAAUCACAAUUUUUAGGUUUUUCGAGCAUUUUAAGACGUAUAUAUAUAUGACAAAAAUAAGAAGAUAGGAGGAAGCCGUCAUAGAAUACUCAAGAAAACAACUCGAAAAACACCAUUGAAGUUGAUUUGAAACAGAUUUUCGUCAAAAUUAAAGAUUCCCAAUUGAUUUCUUUAUUUCUUUCGGUUAUAUUGUAUUUUAGAUGUUUUUAUUUGCAAGUAUGAACAAGUUUUCUAAAUACCUAGGGGAGAUGAACCCUAUGAUAGAUUAUGUUGUUUGAUUUUUAUUUUGCACAAUAAAUACUUAGUUUCUUAUUCUCAAUUAUGUGCUUAAAAGUAGAUCUUGCGUAAUUAAGUGGAGUUACAAGCAAUCCUAGAUAUAGGACGACAUAAAUCUACAGGAUUAGAGUCAAAUCUAAUAAGAGAAUUCAUAGCAUGAGUUAAUGCAAUAUUAGAGGUUUUAAUUAGAAAGAAAUUUCAAUUAAUCAACCUAGAGUCAGUUGUUUUUAUUCUUGAAAAAGAUAUUAGCAUAAUUUAGAGAUUUCUACAGAUCAAGAUAUUAAGUAAAUAAAUUGUGUAGUUUAGAUUGAUAGUGACAGAUGAAAUCUAAGUGAAUUCUUUCUUAGGUAUUGUUUCGUUUCUUCGAUUGCUUUCAUGUUUUGUUCUUUAUUGUGUUCAUUAAUUAAUUAAUUUAAUUAAUUUUAGUUUUUAAUACAUCACUCAAACUAUUCGGUUAAAUAAAAAAAAAGAUGUUAAAUUCUAUAACUUUUAGCUAUAUUAUUAAUUGAUAGGUAUACUUGUUUUAGUCAAUUUUUUAGUUAGUUCCGACGCAUCAAUAUUAUCGAUAUAACACUAUUUUACGUUUACAUAUUAUAUAUAAACAACAAUGUUUAAUUUAAUAUACUUAUUUUUUAAAUGUAUAUAAUUGAAUAAAAAUCAAAAUUUUAUAUAUAUAACUGAACCAAAAUCAAGGUUUCGUGUAAUGUAAUUACUUUAAAUCAAAGUUUAUAUAUCGCAUUGCACAUGUAAAUUUAAAAAUUAUCCCUUUUUAAUGCUAUUAAACAAAACCAAAAUUUUUUAAUUAUUAAUUAAUCUAAUAUUUAUUUAAUAUCAAAUAUAGUAUAUGUAUAAUCCCGAUUCUGCCCGGGCAUCACAAACCCAAUAAGCCCAAUUUACCCUAGCCCAAAACCUUAACUAAAAAAAAAAACUAGCCUCUCCUCACCUCUCCUCACCCUAGGUCUUCAACCACCCUCUGCCGUUGCUCCUCUGACACCACCAACUCCUCUGCCACCGCCAUUGACCCCUAGGCCUGGAAAACAAAAACAAGAAGAAAGCAGAGAAGCAGGAAGCAAAAAAAAUAGAAAACUAAAGAUUGUAUUUGGCUAUAAAAAGAGCCUUAAACAAACAAUGUUUUUUUGGACACUGAUAUUGAAAUACAACAAAAAAAAGCAGUUAUAAAAAAGAAAAAGGUGAUUUCUAACAUCUUGUAUUUCUCUCAUCUCGAGUCUGUUUUGUUUUCUUCUUUGUUUGCAUGCGUUUUUAGUAUAAUAAAAAUAAAACAAAAGACUUACCAUUGAGAGUUUGUCUUCGAAAUCCUCAUCUUCUUCGUCUAAACCGAAGUUUAAGAGGGGAUUUCGGGGUUGAAAUUGGCAUACGUGGCUCUAAUCGGCCUAGAACGAGCUUUGCUCACCACCAAUUAUCGGUCACGGUAGUGUGUGGUGGCUGGGUAAAGGCUUCAUGGUUCAGCCGAAUGAAUAAGGGGGGAGAGACUUCAGUUUCUGUUUUUUCUUAUUUUUUCUUUUGAUUUGUUUAGAGUGGCUGAAUGAUAGUUUUAGGGUUUUUUUAAUUUGGUUUUGUAAGGAGAAUGAAACGGUGGCGUUUAGGGGUAGGGUGAUCUGCGGGUUGACCCAUUUCCAGAGCCGGGUCCGUGUCUCUCUGCUUCAAGUGGGAAAUUUGGACGGUUAACCCCUCUCUUUCGCGCCACAUUUCAG
Molecule: long non-coding RNA, 3639 nt
Filed under: Gossypium barbadense (sea-island cotton)
Lineage: Eukaryota; Viridiplantae; Streptophyta; Magnoliopsida; Malvales; Malvaceae
Description: long non-coding RNA (GBAR_LNC005815)
Source: RNAcentral